This 465-nucleotide ribosomal RNA is filed under the name uncultured bacterium. Its description in RNAcentral is "bacterial SSU rRNA". It matches the Rfam family "Bacterial small subunit ribosomal RNA", at positions 38 to 518 of the family's 1533-position model. The record is from RNAcentral.
GGCGGCGUGCCUAACACAUGCAAGUCGAGCGAGGAGAUCCUUCGGGAUGAUCCUAGCGGCGGACGGGUGAGGUAACACGUGGGCAACCUGCCUCAUAGAGAGGAAUAGCCUUCCGAAAGGGAGAUUAAUACCUCAUAACAUUGCAGUUUCGCAUGGAACAGCAAUUAAAGGAGUAAUCCGCUAUGAGAUGGGGCCCGCGGCGCAUUAGCUAGUUGGUGAGGUAACGGCUCACCAAGGCGACGAUGCGUAGCCGACCUGAGAGGGUGAUCGGCCACAUUGGGACUGAGACACGGCCCAGACUCCUACGGGAGGCAGCAGUGGGGAAUAUUGCACAAUGGGGGAAACCCUGAUGCAGCCAACGCCGCGUGAGUGAUGACGGCCUUCGGGUUGUAAAGCUCUGUCUUCAGGGACGAUAAUGACGGUACCUGAGGAGGAAGCCACGGCUAACUACGUGCCAGCAGCAGC